ACCUAUAUAGCUUAUAUUAGAGCAUUGUGUUGAAGCUACAAGGGAAGUAAUUGUAUACUUGUAGGUA
Molecule: transfer RNA, 67 nt
Filed under: Sicyonia parajaponica
Lineage: Eukaryota; Metazoa; Arthropoda; Malacostraca; Decapoda; Sicyoniidae
Description: tRNA-Phe
Source: RNAcentral